RNAcentral lists this ribosomal RNA (804 nucleotides) under uncultured Pelagibacteraceae bacterium. RNAcentral describes it as "bacterial SSU rRNA". It matches the Rfam family "Bacterial small subunit ribosomal RNA", at positions 35 to 887 of the family's 1533-position model. Lineage: Bacteria; Pseudomonadati; Pseudomonadota; Alphaproteobacteria; Candidatus Pelagibacterales; Candidatus Pelagibacteraceae. The record is from RNAcentral.
GCUGGCGGCACGCCUAACACAUGCAAGUCGAACGAAGUAGCAAUACUUAGUGGCAGACGGGUGAGUAACAUGUAGGUAUCUACCCUUUGGCCUGGAAUAACACGAGGAAACUUGUGCUAAUACUGGAUAAGUCUUUACGGAGAAAGCUUUAUGCACCAUUGGAUGAGCCUGCACUUGAUUAGUUUGUUGGUGGGGUAAUGGCCUACCAAGACUUUGAUCAAUAGCUGAUUUGAGAGGAUGAUCAGCCACAUUGGGACUGAGACACGGCCCAAACUCCUACGGGAGGCAGCAGUGGGGAAUCUUGCACAAUGGAGGAAACUCUGAUGCAGCGAUGCCGCGUGAGUGAAGAAGGCCCUUGGGUUGUAAAGCUCUUUCGUCGGGGAAGAAAAUGACUGUACCCGAAUAAGAAGGUCCGGCUAACUUCGUGCCAGCAGCCGCGGUAAUACGAAGGGACCUAGCGUAGUUCGGAAUUACUGGGCUUAAAGAGUUCGUAGGUGGUUGAAAAAGUUGGUGGUGAAAUCCCAGAGCUUAACUCUGGAACUGCCAUCAAAACUUUUCAGCUAGAGUAUGAUAGAGGAAAGCAGAAUUUCUAGUGUAGAGGUGAAAUUCGUAGAUAUUAGAAAGAAUACCAAUUGCGAAGGCAGCUUUCUGGAUCAUUACUGACGCUGAGGAACGAAAGCAUGGGUAGCGAAGAGGAUUAGAUACCCUCGUAGUCCAUGCCGUAAACGAUGUGUGUUAGACGUUGGAAAUUUAUUUUCAGUGUCGCAGUGAAAGCGAUAAACACACCGCCUGGGGAGUACGACC